This 65-nucleotide transfer RNA is filed under the name Conger japonicus. Its description in RNAcentral is "tRNA-Cys". It matches the Rfam family "tRNA". From Rfam's summary of the family: Transfer RNA (tRNA) molecules are approximately 80 nucleotides in length. Their secondary structure includes four short double-helical elements and three loops (D, anti-codon, and T loops). Further hydrogen bonds mediate the characteristic L-shaped molecular structure. tRNAs have two regions of fundamental functional importance: the anti-codon, which is responsible for specific mRNA codon recognition, and the 3' end, to which the tRNAs corresponding amino acid is attached (by aminoacyl-tRNA synthetases). tRNAs cope with the degeneracy of the genetic code in two manners: having more than one tRNA (with a specific anti-codon) for a particular amino acid; and 'wobble' base-pairing, i.e. permitting non-standard base-pairing at the 3rd anti-codon position. Lineage: Eukaryota; Metazoa; Chordata; Actinopteri; Anguilliformes; Congridae. The record is from RNAcentral.
GGCCCGGUAGUGUAUAACACGUCAGAUUGCAAAUCUGAAAAUGCGGGUAAUUUUUGCUCGGGCCU